GUGGUUGCUGGGAUUUGAACUCAGCAGGACCUUCGGAAGAGCAGCCAGUGCUCUUACCUGCUGAGCCAUCUCUCCAGCUCCCAGGUUACAUUCUUUUACUUUGUAAUCUGAAAAUAUUAUACCACGCCUCUACACAGAUUCCCUGUUUAUUUACCUAGAUGCUCCAUUAGAACCUGAAAAUGUUCUUACCUCUCGAGCACUGUCUAUACUGGAAUUUAUAAUCAACAUUAAGAGACUUAACAUUGUGAGCAUUUGAUCGUGUGGGGGAGUUGAGGGGUGAUUGAUUGUGUUCUCUAGCAUUGGAAAGGGAAUUCUUAGGGUGUUUCUAUAAGCCAUUAGCACAUUAAUCUUGAUGACCACAGAAUAUCUUGACAAUAGAAUAGAAUGUAUGCAGAUGUGGGAAGAUCAGAUUGGUGUGGGAGUAGGAGAAGGGAGAGGGAGAUUGUGUGUGCCCUGCUGGGUGGUAACUAGCAUCUAUCAAAAGGUCCUGGGUUCAAUUCUUAGCACCACUAGAAAAAAAAAUUUUAAAGGAAGAAACAAAACAAAAUGCUAAUUUGGAAAAGUAGGCAGAAAGAUUAAGAACAGUGUAACCUAGGCUGAUGACCUGCAGGUGGUGAUCACAUAAGAAUAAGUAUGUCUUUGAUCCAAAUUAAGUAUUGACCUUCAGGAAGCCUAGAACUAGGAACCCUGCAGAGUAAGCAAAGCCCCCAGACUCCUGCUUAUCUUAGAGGAGGAAAUGAAAAGGUAAGUCUGCAUUCCAUUGCCCAGCUGGUGGGAGAAGGGGAUGGGGCUGGAGGCAGGUAUUUCAUGAGAAGAUGACAGGGCAAGAGGCAUGGUUCUCUUAGGAGGAAGUGAAGUUACUCUUGAUCAUAGACAGAUUUAGUUAUAGCUGUAUUACAACCUCAUGGUGUUUUCUUCAUUAAAACACAGGGCUGACAAAAUUCUCACCUAAUUUGGCUGAAACAGGAACUCGGUUCUUAAGAGGUACUAGCCGGUCCUUACAUGCCUUCUCCAGUGGUAACUCGCACUUUAGGUGGCGCCGGAAGUUCUCUCUCAGAAUAGAACGAAUCACCUUAACAAUGCUGGUUUUGCUGUCACUGUCACUGGGGGAAGAAAAGAAAGAGUACAUACGCAAGGUCUUUCUGCUUCUUUGUGGGCCUUCCUAGGGAUAGAGCCCUGGCCAGCUUUGCCCAAUGUGUGACUGGCUUUUCUGACUUAAAGUAUACCAGUUGCCCUUUUGAAGGUGAAGCUGUGUCCUCAUACCAGAAUUCAGAAGGGCACCAAAAACAUACCCCCACAUACACAGUUUGUUUAAAAAAAAAAUUUCACUUGUGUAAUUGUGUGUGUUCAUAUAUGUACUCCGUGUUGGGGUGGGGCGGGAGGUGGGGCACUGAACAGACCAGAGGAAGUCGGAUCCCACAGAGCUAGAGUUAACAAGUGGUUGGAAGCCACAAAACAUGGGUGCUGGGAACCAAUCCCAAGUCCUGCGGAAGAGCAUCCAGUGCUUCUAGCUUCUUAGCUCUCUCUUCAGCCCUGUGUCUCCCCUUUAAAGGGACACAAUGAAGUCUUCUAUCAUGUGUCAAAGGAAGUACCUGCAGCACAGCUGGAAGAUGGUUUCUGGCCGUCCUUCAAUUUCCGACUUGGUAUGAAUCAGCUCCCACAUGGAAUUGUUUUCAGUCCCUGGGGAAAAGGAAGUGGAAACAAGAGUCCACAACUCUGCCAAAAUCCCGCAGCUGGGGAUACCUGUGGUCUCAACGAUUCAAACGUCCAGAGGGUAUCAAAGCCUACAGCAAAAAAGAAAUGGUGACAGAUGUUGACUGUAAAAGUGAAGAAACCAUGCAGAGGCCAUAAAAGGCUGUCCAGUGCCACUUGGUUUCUUCCAAAAGAUUGUGAAGAAACACCAAGACAACCCAGUUCUCAUUAUCUAUCUCUAAGAAGUAAAUACAUGCAAAAGUGACCCUGGUGCGAUGGCUUGAAGAUGUCCCCACAAUCUAUGCACAUCAGGCCUGGAGGAAGAAGGGAGCUGUAAGGCUGGACCUGGGGGGAGGGUGGUAGAUCAGAGAAGGUGUGCUCUCAGUCACUAAAGCCCUCAUCCACUUCCUGUCUUCCCCUCUGCUUCCUGUCCACCCGAGUGAACAGAUGUCUGCCAGCACAUGCUCCUGUUAUAAUCAACUAUGCUGCCAUUGUACCAUGGCCCGAUACCCAGGAGCUCAAAUAAAUCAUUCCUGCCUAUCAGAAAUCUUGUAAACAUGGAAGCCUUACUUUUCUAUCCCACAUGAAUGAAAAGCACGUGGAAGUGUUUCUUGUCAUCGCAUUCCCCAAAGUCUUUACCUGCCGUGUUCCCAAGUCUAACUUGAAGCGCAGAUAUGGGAAUCAACCAGCGGAAUUUAAACGGGUCCAAGUCAGCAGAGCUGUGAGCGGGCCGGGAAUUUGAGGGCUGCAACGCGAGAGACCACCAGGAAGAGGUUACAGUCCUGUGUGCAGUGAGUGAGCAGAGCUAUCUCGAAGUGUGUGCAGGACUUGUGUGGGUGCCUAAGGGGCAUACAAACCAGGUACACACCCAGUUCUCAAAGACCUCCCAGGCCUGGGGCUGGGACUGUGCCAAAGUGAGAGAGAGUUCAUGGAACACGAGGUUCCCCGUCUCUGCAAAGAUGGCGGCCUUCCCUCCUGCAGUCUCCAGUUCCUGCUGGUGGCUUAUGGCAUCCAUGGCAAAGUUCUGACCAAAUGCUUUGGAGUUCUGCUUGGGUCUUGACUUUUUGAAUCAAAGUAAAAAACUAGUUCUAAAGCCAAAAUGUUGAAGACCUCUGUGUGUAUGGAACCACAUGUACUAUUAUUUUUAGGGAAUAAAAGUUUUCUGUUUUGGCCUCGUGUA
Molecule: long non-coding RNA, 2872 nt
Organism: Mastomys coucha (southern multimammate mouse)
Lineage: Eukaryota; Metazoa; Chordata; Mammalia; Rodentia; Muridae
Exons: 2
Source: RefSeq, a predicted model, not a curated record